UACGUAGGGGUCGAGCGUUGUCCGGAGUUACUGGGCGUAAAGCGUGCGCAGGCGGCGGCCUGCGCCCGGCGUGAAAGCCCCCGGCUCAACCGGGGAGGGUCGUCGGGGACGGGGCCGCUUGAGGAUCGCAGGGGCUGGUGGAAUUCCCGGUGUAGUGGUGAAAUGCGUAGAGAUCGGGAGGAACACCCGUGGCGAAGGCGGCCAGCUGGGCGAUACCUGACGCUGAGGCACGAAGGCGUGGGGAGCGAACGGG
This 253-nucleotide ribosomal RNA is filed under the name uncultured Sphaerobacter sp. Its description in RNAcentral is "partial 16S ribosomal RNA". It matches the Rfam family "Bacterial small subunit ribosomal RNA", at positions 524 to 776 of the family's 1533-position model. The record is from RNAcentral. Lineage: Bacteria; Pseudomonadati; Thermomicrobiota; Thermomicrobia; Sphaerobacterales; Sphaerobacteraceae.